RNAcentral lists this long non-coding RNA (543 nucleotides) under Micromonas commoda. RNAcentral describes it as "long non-coding RNA (MCOM_LNC000270)". Lineage: Eukaryota; Viridiplantae; Chlorophyta; Mamiellophyceae; Mamiellales; Mamiellaceae. The record is from RNAcentral.
CCGGCGGCGCCGAUAUCUACAUCAUGUACAUACGCUGGAACAUGCUAGCCUUUCACCUCGCGGGUGACCAUCGUGUCCGAGCCCGAGCCCGACCCCACGCGACGUGUUGCGACGCCGGAAAAAGCGAAACUCUCGCCCUGACCCAUCCGUCGCCCUUUUCCCUACAGGACGGUAACCUCUGCGACCCCGCCGCGGUGGCUGCCAUCUUCGACAAGUAUCAGCCGACCCACGUGAUCCACCUCGCGGCCAAGGUGGGCGGUCUUUUCGCCAACAUGAAGCACAAGGUGCAGUUCUGGAGGGACAACGUCAACAUGAACGACAACAUCUUCCAGGAGUGCCACAAGCGCGGCGUGCAGAAGCUAGUGUCAUGCCUCUCCACCUGCAUCUUCCCCGAUAAGACCACCUUCCCGAUCGACGAGACCAUGAUUCACGACGGCCCCCCUCACUUCUCCAACGAGGGCUACGCCUACGCCAAGCGUAUGGUUGAUGUCCAGAACCGCAUGUACAAGUCCCAGUACGGGUGCAACUUCACCGCUGUCAUCC